RNAcentral lists this unclassified non-coding RNA (348 nucleotides) under soil metagenome. Its description in RNAcentral is "partial contains 5.8S ribosomal RNA, internal transcribed spacer 2, and large subunit ribosomal RNA". The stretch from base 1 to 120 matches the Rfam family "5.8S ribosomal RNA", at positions 35 to 154 of the family's 154-position model. The record is from RNAcentral.
GAUGAAGAACGUAGCGAAAUGCGAUAAGUAAUGUGAAUUGCAGAAUUCAGUGAAUCAUCGAAUCUUUGAACGCACAUUGCGCCCGCCAGUAUUCUGGCGGGCAUGCCUGUCUGAGCGUCAUUUCAACCCUCAUGCCCCUAGGGCGUGGUGUUGGGUAUCGGCCAAAGCCCGCGAGGGACGGCCGGCCCCUAAAUCUAGUGGCGGACCCGUCGUGGCCUCCUCUGCGAAGUAGUGAUAUUCCGCAUCGGAGAGCGAUGAGCCCCUGCCGUUAAACCCCCAACUUUCCAAGGUUGACCUCAGAUCAGGUAGGAAUACCCGCUGAACUUAAGCAUAUCAAUAAGCGGAGGA